GUCUACCAUGCAGUCGACGGUAACAGGACUAGCUUGCUAGUUGCUGACGAGUGGCGCACGGGUGAGUAACAUAUAGGUAACGUGCCUCUUAGUCUGGGAUAGCCACUGGAAACGGUGAUUAAUACCGGAUACACCUUUUAAUUUGAUGUUAAAAGGGAAAGGUUUUUCGCUAAGAGAUCGGCCUAUAUUGUAUCAGCUAGUUGGUGAGGUAAGAGCUCACCAAGGCAAUGACACAUAGCGGGUUUGAGAGGAUGAUCCGCCACACUGGUACUGAGACACGGACCAGACUCCUACGGGAGGCAGCAGUGAGGAAUAUUGCACAAUGGAGGAAACUCUGAUGCAGCAACGCCGCGUGGAGGAUGACGCAUUUCGGUGUGUAAACUCCUUUUAUAAGAGAAGAAAAUGACGGUAUCUUAUGAAUAAGUCCCGGCUAACUCCGUGCCAGCAGCCGCGGUAAUACGGAGGGGACAAGCGUUAUUCGGAAUCACUGGGCGUAAAGGACGCGUAGGCGGGACAGUAAGUCAGGUGUGAAAUCCUAUGGCUCAACCAUAGAACUGCAUUUGAAACUGCUGACCUAGAGUAUGGAAGGGGCAGGUGGAAUUAGUGGUGUAGGGGUAAAAUCCGUAGAUAUCACUAGGAAUACCGAAAGCGAAGGCGACCUGCUGGGACAUUACUGACGCUGAGGCGUGAAAGCG
This 695-nucleotide ribosomal RNA is filed under the name uncultured bacterium. RNAcentral describes it as "bacterial SSU rRNA". It matches the Rfam family "Bacterial small subunit ribosomal RNA", at positions 46 to 761 of the family's 1533-position model. The record is from RNAcentral.